GAUGAACGCUGGCGGCGUGCUUAACACAUGCAAGUCGAACGGAAAGGCCCUGCUUUUGUGGGGUGCUCGAGUGGCGAACGGGUGAGUAACACGUGAGUAACCUGCCCUUGACUUUGGGAUAACUUCAGGAAACUGGGGCUAAUACCGGAUAGGAGCUCCUGCUGCAUGGUGGGGGUUGGAAUGUUUCGGCGGUUGGGGAUGGACUCGCGGCUUAUCAGCUUGUUGGUGGGGUAGUGGCUUUCCAAGGCUUUGACGGGUAGCCGGCCUGAGGGGGUGACCGGCCACAUUGGGACUGAGAUACGGCCCAGACUCCACCGGGAGGCAGCAGUGGGGAAUAUUGCACAAUGGGCGGAAGCCUGAUGCAGCAACGCCGCGUGCGGAAUGACGGCCUUCGGGUGGUAAACCGCUUUCGCCUGUGACGAAGCGUGAGUGACGGUAAUGGGUAAAGAAGCACCGGCUAACUACGUG
This 468-nucleotide ribosomal RNA is filed under the name uncultured bacterium. RNAcentral's name for it is "partial 16S ribosomal RNA". It matches the Rfam family "Bacterial small subunit ribosomal RNA", at positions 28 to 507 of the family's 1533-position model. The record is from RNAcentral.